This 23-nucleotide non-coding RNA is filed under the name Arabidopsis thaliana (thale cress). Lineage: Eukaryota; Viridiplantae; Streptophyta; Magnoliopsida; Brassicales; Brassicaceae. The record is from RNAcentral.
CCAUUCGUUCAUCUUCCAACUAA